RNAcentral lists this long non-coding RNA (586 nucleotides) under Zostera marina. RNAcentral describes it as "long non-coding RNA (ZMAR_LNC001150)". Lineage: Eukaryota; Viridiplantae; Streptophyta; Magnoliopsida; Alismatales; Zosteraceae. The record is from RNAcentral.
UUCAGUCUCAGGUCCUGUGGGAGUCCUUUUGUUUUUAUUGGCCUUAGGUGGUCGACCCACUGGCCUUUUAGUUUUCGAGUUGCCAGGUUGUUGCCCUGGCGCCUCCUGAGAAUUCGCUCCUCCUCCUUGGGAAGUGCUUCGAGUUACCACCAUCCUGGAGUGUUCGACUUUUCUUAGGAGUGUUCGACUUUUGCUUGGAGAGAAAAGUCGAUCUUCAAAAAGUCGAUCCCUAGUGCACUUGGAGGAUUCCUUGGAAGCCGAUGUUCGAAAGCCUAGCUCCUUGAGGGGUCGACUUUUCUUCGGAAGAAAAAAGUCGAUCUCCUGAAAUGUCGAUCCCUUGCUGGCUGAUUUCCUCGCAAAACUUCCUAGCUGGCGACUUGGAAAAAAGUCGAUCCCUUUUUUCGAAAAAGUCGAGGAGCUUUUGUCGUGAGUAUCUUUGAACCACAGACGGCGCCAACUGAUGGGGGUGAAACCCGACCAGUACUCCAAGACGCGCAAGCAAGCGCCAAGCGGGGAACUCCGCGGGAAACCGGACCGGAACUCAAGUGUGCAGAGCUCUGCUUCGCUAGGAAUUCUUCUUCUCCAA